CCGCCCGUGGCGCAAUUGGAUAGCGCAAUGGAUUCCGAUUCCAGAGGUUGGGGGUUCGAAUCCCUUCGGGCGGGCCA
This 77-nucleotide transfer RNA is filed under the name Bacillota bacterium. RNAcentral's name for it is "Firmicutes bacterium (gut metagenome) tRNA-Arg". It matches the Rfam family "tRNA". Rfam says of the family: Transfer RNA (tRNA) molecules are approximately 80 nucleotides in length. Their secondary structure includes four short double-helical elements and three loops (D, anti-codon, and T loops). The record is from RNAcentral. Lineage: Bacteria; Bacillati; Bacillota.